This 468-nucleotide ribosomal RNA is filed under the name uncultured bacterium. RNAcentral's name for it is "partial 16S ribosomal RNA". The stretch from base 52 to 468 matches the Rfam family "Bacterial small subunit ribosomal RNA", at positions 39 to 507 of the family's 1533-position model. The record is from RNAcentral.
GGGGGGGGGGGGGGGGGGGCGGGGGGCGGGCGGGGCGGGCGGGGGGGCGGGGCGGGUGGGGGGUGCGCGGGUGGCGCGCGGGGGAGUGACACGUGUGUAACCUGCCCGUGACUUGGGGGGAACUUCAGGAAACUGGGGCGAAUACCGGAUAUGAGCUCCUGCUGCACGGUGGGGGAUGGAGAGAGUCGGCGGUUGGGGCUGGACUCGCGGCUUAUCAGCUAGUUGGUGGGGUAGUGGCUUACCACGGCUUUGACGGGUAGGCGGCCUGAGAGGGUAAACGGGGUCAUUGGGACUGAGAGAGGGCGCAGAAGGGUACGGGAGGCAGCAGUGGGGAAUAUGGCACAAUGGGCGGAAGCGUGAUGCAGCAACGUCGCGUGCGGGAUGCCGGCCUUUGGGUUGUAAACAGAUGUCGACGGUGACGAAGCGUGAGUGACGGUAAUGGGUAAAGAAGCACCGGCUAACUACGUG